CCCUUAGAUGUUCUGGGCCGCACGCGCGCUACACUGAAUGGAUCAACGUGUUUUCCCUUCCCGAGAGGGACGGGUAACCCGCUGAACCCCAUUCGUGGUAGGGAUCGGAGCUUGCAAUUGUUCUCCGUGAACCAGGAAUUCCCAGUAAGCGCAAGUCAUAAGCUUGCGUUGAUUACGUCCCUGCCCUUUGUACACACCGCCCGUCGCACCUACCGAUUGAAUGGUCCGGUGAAAUCUCGGGACGGCGGCUCGGUCGCUUGCGUCCGACUGCUGAAACUUGAUUAAACCAUAUCAUUUAGAGGAAGGUGAAGUCGUAACA
RNAcentral lists this ribosomal RNA (319 nucleotides) under uncultured eukaryote. RNAcentral's name for it is "partial 18S ribosomal RNA". It matches the Rfam family "Eukaryotic small subunit ribosomal RNA", at positions 1470 to 1796 of the family's 1831-position model. The record is from RNAcentral.